UCUAAAACCAACCUAAACAUACUUGAUCUUGUCUGAUUCUGGAAGCUAAGCAGGGUUGGGCUUGCUCAGUACUUGGAAGGGAGACCAUGAAGUAAUAACAAGGAUUUACAGAA
Molecule: ribosomal RNA, 113 nt
Filed under: Pogona vitticeps (central bearded dragon)
Lineage: Eukaryota; Metazoa; Chordata; Lepidosauria; Squamata; Agamidae
Source: RNAcentral